Molecule: ribosomal RNA, 245 nt
Filed under: uncultured bacterium
Lineage: Bacteria
Description: partial 16S ribosomal RNA
Rfam family: Bacterial small subunit ribosomal RNA
Source: RNAcentral
UACGGAGGAUGCAAGCGUUAUCCGGAUUCAUUGGGUUUAAAGGGUGCGCAGGCGGAAUGAUAAGUCAGUGGUGAAAUCCUACGGCUCAACUGUAGAACUGCCAUUGAUACUGUUGUUCUUGAGUACACUUGAAGUGGGCGGAAUGUGUCAUGUAGCGGUGAAAUGCUUAGAUAUGACACAGAACACCGAUCGCGAAGGCAGCUCACUAACGUGAAACUGACGCUCAGGCACGAAAGCGUGGGGAU